RNAcentral lists this ribosomal RNA (253 nucleotides) under uncultured bacterium. RNAcentral's name for it is "partial 16S ribosomal RNA". It matches the Rfam family "Bacterial small subunit ribosomal RNA", at positions 524 to 776 of the family's 1533-position model. The record is from RNAcentral.
UACAGAGGUGGCAAGCGUUGUUCGGAAUUACUGGGCGUAAAGGGCGCGUAGGCGGCCUUCUAAGUCAGACGUGAAAUCCCCCGGCUUAACCUGGGAACUGCGUCUGAUACUGGGAGGCUUGAGUAUGGGAGAGGGAUGUAGAAUUCCAGGUGUAGCGGUGAAAUGCGUAGAUAUCGGGAGGAACACCGGUGGCGAAGGCGGCGACCUGGGUCGACACUGACGCUGAGGCGCGAAAGCGUGGGGAGCAAACAGG